Molecule: ribosomal RNA, 498 nt
Filed under: uncultured bacterium
Lineage: Bacteria
Description: partial 16S ribosomal RNA
Rfam family: Bacterial small subunit ribosomal RNA
Source: RNAcentral
AUUGAACGCUGGCGGCAGGCUCAACACAUGCAAGUCGAGCGGGGGAAGGUAGUUUGCUUUUCAUGAGAGUGGCGCACGGGUGCGUAACACGUAUGCAACCUACCUUGUCCAGGGGGAUAGCCCGUUGAAAGACGGAUUAAGACCGCAUAACAUUGAGCUGUGGCAUCACAAAUCAAUCAAAUAUUUAUAGGGACAAGAUGGGCAUGCGCCUGAUUAGGUAGUUGGCGGGGUAAUGGCCCACCAAGCCGACGAUCAGUAGGGGAUCUGAGAGGAAGACCCCCCACACUGGUACUGAGACACGGACCAGACUCCUACGGGAGGCAGCAGUAAGGAAUAUUGGUCCAUGGGCGGAAGCCUGAACCAGCCAUGCGGCGUGCAGGAAGCCGGCCCUACGGGUGGUAAACUGCUUUUAUACGGGAAUAACCCCGGUUUCGGGAAACCGGCUGAAUGUACCGUAAGAAUAAGGAUCGGCUAACUCCGUGCCAGCCGCCGCCGUAA